AGUCGAGGGGCAGCGGGGGUAGCAAUACCCGCCGGCGACCGGCGCACGGGUGAGUAACGCGUAUGCAACUUGCCUAUCAGAGGGGGAUAACCCGGCGAAAGUCGGACUAAUACCGCAUGAAGCAGGGGUCCCGCAUGGGGAUAUUUGCUAAAGAUUCAUCGCUGAUAGAUAGGCAUGCGUUCCAUUAGGCAGUUGGCGGGGUAACGGCCCACCAAACCGACGAUGGAUAGGGGUUCUGAGAGGAAGGUCCCCCACAUUGGUACUGAGACACGGACCAAACUCCUACGGGAGGCAGCAGUGAGGAAUAUUGGUCAAUGGGCGUAAGCCUGAACCAGCCAAGUCGCGUGAGGGAUGAAGGUUCUAUGGAUCGUAAACCUCUUUUAUAAGGGAAUAAAGUGCGGGACGUGUCCCGUUUUGUAUGUACCUUAUGAAUAAGGAUCGGCUAACUCCGUGCCAGCAGCCGCGGUAAUACGGAGGAUCCGAGCGUUAUCCGGAUUUAUUGGGUUUAAAGGGUGCGUAGGCGGCCUUUUAAGUCAGCGGUGAAAGUCUGUGGCUCAACCAUAGAAUUGCCGUUGAAACUGGGGGGCUUGAGUAUGUUUGAGGCAGGCGGAAUGCGUGGUGUAGCGGUGAAAUGCUUAGAUAUCACGCAGAACCCCGAUCGCGAAGGCAGCCUGCCAAGCCAUGACUGACGCUGAUGCACGAAAGCGUGGGGAUCAAACA
RNAcentral lists this ribosomal RNA (720 nucleotides) under uncultured bacterium. RNAcentral describes it as "bacterial SSU rRNA". It matches the Rfam family "Bacterial small subunit ribosomal RNA", at positions 60 to 774 of the family's 1533-position model. The record is from RNAcentral.